CGAAUCUGAAACAACUUUUUUCAAUUUUGUCAAUUUACCAAAGCGUGAAAAGAUCCCUUUAAGCUGAUGUUCACAGAGAUGCCCAUGUUAAGAAGUCAAUAUGAGUUGGUCUGCCAGUAGAUGUGGACGUCAAAACUGAUGCGAAGUCCUCCUCAACUCACUUCAAUAGAUCACAGAAGAGUCAAACAAUAGUCCUUGCUCUAGGAAAACCUGGCUUAAUGCAUGUUAGGGAAGUGUCAUCCCAGUUAAGCCUGCGCAGUUCACACAUGUGAAUCAGGUUCUAUACAUUCCGCUUUUAUUUUGGCCUUAACAAAGAUCCAGUUUAGGCAGAAAGUGUUUAUCCUGUUCAGCAUAUCAGGACUGCACAGGCUAUUCUGAUACUGUACUUGUCACUCAUGCAUAGAGAUCCAUUUUCCCAGAGCAACACUGAAACAUGAUUGGUGCAGUCCUGCUUCAACUCCAUAAUGUAACUGUAGGUAUCUGCCAACACUUGAAAUUCAUAGGUAAUUACUCAUUGUAACACUUUCAAAUGUAAAGUCAAUCUGAAAUAAAAAGUUGGCAUGUUUGAAAAUAGUAUUUUAAAAAAGUGAAUUAAUAAGCACAUUAUAGUUAUCUGUAAUAUCAGUAAGACAUUGCUGUAUUGUGUUGUUUACAUUUUCAAUUAGGACGUAGGCUUUGUUAAAUUAAGUUUGUCAUAUAUGGAAUAUAUAUGUUUGCAAUUAUAUGUAAAUGGUUAAACUAAACUGUUAAUGUAUUUUAACACAUAUAAAUUAACAAUUUUAAUGUCAUACAAAAAUCAAGCUGCUAUUAUCACAGUAUUCCCAAUGUUGAAUUUAGGUCUCUCAGUAUGCCAAGUUAUCACAAUUGUUACAACGAAAUUGCCAUUUUUUCAUUUUAUGUAUUUUAUUUAUUAUUGACAAUUUAUUUCUUUUGUUUAAGUAGGGAAUGGCUUGACAGUGCAGCGAUAACAAAAAUCAGAAUAUUAUGACAAUUUUUUUCUUCUAUUCUUUACAUAGGCUUAUGUAGAAGAAAAUGAAAAAAUGCUUUUUUUGCUAAAAUUUCAGAUAUCAAAUAGAAGUUCUUUAUGUUCAACUCUUGAGAUAUAAAGUGUCACAUAUUUUUCUUAAAUUAUGGUUUUUGGUGGGGGAAAAUAGGUUCAUUAAAGAUAGGGCACUUGGUGCAAGGAAUCGUUUUAAAAGUUUGUUCUCAUUCUUGGCAUUACAUGUAUAUUUACCUGUGAUAAGCUAUGCAUAUGGGAACAAGUGUUUGAAUAUGCUCAGCAUUAGCUUUAGGUGGUUUUGAUCAUGAAACAAUGCUGAUGCUUGGCUUUAAGCUUUAAUUGGGGGUGUGACUGGUUUAAGCAUAUAUUGUUUUUGUUUUGAAUUGUUCUUGUUUUAUUGUUGGUCAGAUUUUUACAUUUGUACACAUGUAUUACAUUUAUUGUUUAUAUUAUUAUUAUUGUUUGACACUUCAAUGCAACUGCACACUUCUUGACAUUGCCUGAAAUUUUUAAGAAAUUCUGGCUCCAAAUCAUAGACUUUUAUUACAUCUGCACAUUCUCUGAUUGUAUCCUUUUAAACUCUGCAUAUCAUUUUCUAGUCAUAUGAAAGUUGUUUUUUGUUAAUAAGAAACAUUUUAAGUCUCCCUGAUGCCAUAUAUAAAGUUGUUGAUUAUUUUCUUGUUAAUAUCUUAAAAAACCUUAAACACCAGUUGUUUUGCUUUAUCAUUGUUCUGUUUUCAUAACAUACUGUGGGACUUUCAGAUACAUGUAGUUAUACAAAUCAGAUUGUUUUUGUAUACAUGAAUCAUAUUUACCUAUUUCUCUGAAGCAGCAGCUUAAGGCCAGCCAUUCACAAGCUGCAGUAGACGUGUUAGAUGCCUUGCAAUCUUGGCAUGAUCCUGUGGUUCCCUCUGCAAACGUGCCCAUAAAUUUUCUCAAAUUUAAUAUUGAUUUCACACGAAACUCGCUGAAAAAUGUGUCGCAAUAAGUUGUUCCCUUGCCACACAAUCAAUAAAAAACGAAAGUAAAUAUGAAUAUAGCAUUCAUCUGUGAGACCCAUGCUUGUUGUAAGUACAUGUAUAUUCUCUUUAUUAUGUUCUGCACAAUUGUUUGUCACAUUAAUCAUAUUCUCUUCUGCAUAAUAUAUAUGUUAUCGCCUUAAUGUAUUGAUUUGGUUUGUUUUAUGUUGAUUUAUUGUAGAGUCACACAUGUACAAAUAUGUACAGUGAGAAGAAUUAUGUCAAACUUAUAACUUAAAAUACAUGUAUUAAUACUAAAUAUGAAUAAAUUAUUUUCAGAUAAUCUUAUCAGUCAUAAUGAACAUUUUAUAUUUCAUAGCACUCGUUACGUUUUGUAAUUCUUCAGACUUGUUUUUGUGACCAGAAAAAAAAUGACAGCAGUUUAUUGUUAUGGAAUGUUAACUUUGUUUAAAUAAUAAUCCCUGUAAAUUAGAUAUUGCUUGAAAGCAGAAAGUGUUGUCUCAGAUCAACGUGUGCAAGCUGCUGAGGCUAAUCAGGGGCAAUAUUAAACGCGCAUGCAAUAAGACCAGCUCUACCAUAGCUUAGCUCAUUGACUACAUUCUAGUCGGAUGUUGAAUGCAAUGAAGUAUUGCCAAGGCUGGUGGGAUGCUCUGUAAACUUGUUUAAAUUGAUUAUUUGUUUCCACCUAGUAAGGUUUUAGUUUUCUUAUAUAUUCCCGGUAGGGGGGUCUAAUAGCAGUCAGACUGUCUGGCUUUCUAGCAUUCGGUUUUCUAUGCCAUGCUCUCAGAUAUUAAGCUGAUUUUAGCUCGGCUGUUUUCGGAAAACCCAAGGUAUUGUCAUAGCCUGCUCGUUGUCCGCCGUCCGCCGGCAGUCAUGCUAAAACCUUUACAUUGGCUCUAAAAUCAAAGUGCUUCCACCUACAACUUUUAAACUUCAUAUGUAUAUGCACCUUGAUGAGUUCUACACGCCAUACCCAUUUUUGGGUCACUAGGUCAAAGGUCAAGGUCACUGUGACCUCUAAUAUAAAACUUUAACUCUGCCUCUAACAUCAUAGUGCUUCCACCUACAACUUCGAAACUUCAUAUGUACAUGCACCUUGAUGAGUUCUACAUGCCACACCCAAUUUUGGGUCACUAGGUCAAAGGUCAAGGUCACUGUGACCUCUAAUAUAAAACUUUAACUUUGCCUCUAACAUCAUAGUGCUUCCACCUACAACUUUGAAACUUCAUAUAUACAUGCACCUUGAUGAGUUCUACACGCCACACACAAUUUUGGGUCACUAGGUAAAAGGUCAAGGUCACUGUGACCUCUAAUUUAAAACUUUAACUUUGCCUCUAACAUCACAGUGCUUCCACCUGCAACUUUGAAACUUCAUAUGUAGAUGCACCUUGAUGAGUUCUACAUGCCACACCCAUUUUGGGUCACUAGGUCAAAAGUCAAGGUCACUGUGACCUCUAAAAAAAAUAAAACUAGUGACCUGAAAAUCAAUAGGGGUCAUCUGCGAGUCAAUGUACCUAUGAAGUGUCAUGAUCCUAGGCAAAACCGUUCUUGAGUUUUCAUCCGAAAAUCAUUUUACUAUUUCGGGUCACCGUGACCUUGACCUUUGACCUAGUGACCUCAAAAUCAAUAGGGGUCAUCUGCAAGUCAUGAUCAAUCUACCUAUGAAGUUUUAUGAUCCAAGGCGUAUGCGUUCUUGAGUUAUCAUCCGGAAACCAUUUUACUAUUUUGGGUCACCGUGACCUUGACCUAGUGACCUCAAAAUCAAUAGGGGUCAUCUGAAAGUCAUGAUCAAUCUACCCAUGAAGUUUCAUGAUCCUAGGCGUAUGCGUUCUUGAGUUAUCAUUCAAAAACCAUUUUACUAUUUCUGGUCACCGUGACCUUGACCUUUGACCUAGUGACCUCAAAAUCAAUAGGGGUCAUCUGCAAGUCAUGAUCAAUGUACCUAUGAAGUUUCAUGAUCCUAGGCCCAAGCGUUCUUGAGUUAUCGUCUUGACAACCACCUGGUGGACGGACCGACCGACAGACCGACCGACAGACCGACAUGAGCAAAGCAAUAUACCCCCUCUUCUUCGAAGGGGGGCAUAAAAAUCUGACAAGCUUUCACAGCCGAGCAUGGCACCCGUUAUUCGGUGCUCUUGUUUUUAUUUGAGCCAUAAUUAGUAACCUGCAUGACCUACAGAUAGUGUGAAUUUCAUUCCCAUAUAUUGCUUUUUGGCCAAGUUAUGGGUCUUGGACUAAGAAAUUUUCUUUAUAAUAACAGUUUUGAAAAGUUUUUUUACUCAAAGCUUUCAAAUAUUGAGCUGAUUUUUGGUAUGUGAUUCAACCUACAUGACUAACAGAUGAAGGGUGAGUUUUGUUUUGGUUUAUUGCUUUUUGGCAAAGUUAUGGGCCUUGGACUUAAUAAUCUUCUCUAAAAUUGCUGCUGUGUAGCUUCAAAUCGCAUAUCUUACUUAAUUUUGGAAGUCACCUGUUUAAAAGUUGAAAUAUUUUUUUUGCAAAUUUUAUGUAGAAGCAUUUGCAUGUGAUUAAGCUAUAUUUUUAUAGAUCAAUUCAGUGUUGUUUACAUUUCUGUCUAAAAGAAAUAUAUAUCAUGUGGACAGAAAGCAUUGUGAUCUGAAAUGGCAAUACAUUGUAGAAAAUGUCAUGCCUAUCUAUAUUUUGUAAUGUUUUGUUUUUAUAACCCAUUAUGUUCUCUCCUAGUAUAUCAUCAUUGUUACAAAUAAUCAUAUUAUGUUGUUAAAUGUCGUUUUAAAACAAUAUUGGUGCAGAAUUUGAGUGCCAUUUAUGCCAACUGAAUUUAUUUUAACAUGACAAUUUAUCAAAUGUCAACAUAUCAAGUAAUAAAAAGGCCAGACUGAAAAACUGGGUAGCAGGAGGCUUGCAGAACAUCAAAUGUUAAUGUAAGAUUAUGCUAUUGGUUGGUAACUGAUUAAUAACGCAAGGUUUUGGAGAAACUGGGCUUAAUGCGUGUGCGUAAAGUUUUGUCCCAGAUUAGCCUCUUGGAAUACACAAAGUGGAUAAACUUUUAGAAGAGAUUUACUUUAAACAAAAAAAUCCAUAUAAGAAGAAAGUGUCAUCGCUGAUUAGCCUGUGCAGACUGCACAGUCUUAUCUGCGACAAAAAAUUACACUUAAGAAUUAAACCCAGUUUUCCCAGAUCUCUGCUCAAUUUCACAUUUUUGCUAGGAUAAAGGAUGAUAUAGGUCAAAAAAUAUUUUUUUAAGAUAGAUGCAGAAUAAGGCUAAGUUCAAUAUAUUGUUCAAUGAGCAGUAUGAUGGUUUGUUUUAACAGUAUUAAACUUGUACAUAUUGAUUCAUAGAGAUUUAAAUGUGAAAAAAGGUAAAUGAAAAGGUACAUGAGAGGAACUGUACAUAUAAUGCAUUCAACAUGAACCUACAACAUUUUCUUCAGAAGAGGAACUUGUAUUUUUAGUUUAAAUGUAUUGCUAGUUCAUAAAUUACUGUCAUUAAGGAUGAGUUUUUAGCUCACCUGAGCACAACGUGCUCAUGGUAUGCUUUUGGGAUCGCCUUUUGUCCGUCGUGCGUGCGUGCGUCGUUCGUCGUCAACAUUUUUCCUUGUGAACACUCUAGAGGCCACAUUUCUUGUCUGAUCUUCAUGAAACUAGGUCAGAACAUUUGUCCCAAUGAUACCUCGACUGAGUUCGAAACUGGGUCAUUCUGGGUGAAAAACAAGGUCACUAGGUCAAAAAACAGAAAAACCUUUUGAACACUUUAAAAGUCACAUUUGAUGCCCAAUCUUCAUGUUACUUUGUCAAAAAGUUUGCCUAAAAGAAAUGUUGGUUGAGUUCAAAAAUGGUUCCGGUCAGUUGAAAAACAUGGCCACCAGGGGGCGGGCAGUAUUCCUUAUAUGGCUAUAGAGUAACCUUGUGAAUACUCUAGGAGUCACAACUUUGCCCAAUUAUCAUGAAACUUGGUGAAAACAUUGGUUUCAUUGAUAUCUUGGACGAGUUCGAAAAUGGUCCAGAUUGGUGAAAAAACAUGGCCGCCAGGGGGCAGGGCAGUUUUCUCUAUAUAGUGAAAAUAAGUGAACACUCUAGAAGUCACAUAUUUGUUCCAAUCUUCAUGAAAUUUGGUCAGAACAUUUGUUUCCUGGAUACAACGGUUGAGUUGGAAAAUGUUUCGGAUCGGUAAAAAAACAUGGCCACCAUGGGGGGGGGGGUCUUUUUCCUUAUAUUUAUAUAGUAAAAAAGCUUGUGAACACUCUAGAAGUCACAUUUUUGCCUAAUCAUCAUGAAAUUUGGUCAAAACAUUGGUUAUGUGGAUAUUUCGGACGAGUUUGAAAUAGUCGUGAACAUUUGAAAAACAUGGCCGCCAGGGGGUGGGGCAGUUUUCUCUAUAUGUAUAUAGUGAAAACAUGUGAACAGUCUAUAAGACACAUUUUUUGCCUAAUCUUUAUGAAAUUUGGUCAGCACAAAUGAUUCCUUGAUACAACGGUUGAGUUAAAAAAUGGUUCGGAUCGGUAAAAAAACAUGGCCGCCAGGGUCUUUUUCCUUAUAUUUAUAUAGUAAAAAAAAGCUUGUGAAUACUCUAGAAGUCACAUUUUUUGUCCAAUCAUCAUGAAACUUGGUCAAAACAUUGGUUUUAUGGAUAUCUUGUUAUGAUAUCUAGGCCGAGUUCUUUAUGGUUGUGGUCUGUUGAAAAACAUGGCUUUAAUCGGCUUAAUAGUGUAACCUUGUUUACACUUUACUAAGAAAUUACCAAUGUAAACGUUGAAUGAAAUUUAUGCAUAUUAUGAUAUUCAUGAUCUCCAUGCAGACAUCAUAUUAAUUCUGCCGCUAAGAUAUACAGUAAAAUUGCCAAAUUUUUUAUUAUUUAUUUUUGUUUCUUUCUGAACAGGAUUAUUAUGUUGAUGAUUGGUUGGGGAUGAAGUGCAACAAACAUAUUUUUGCCAUCUGCAAACCUUUAUAAAAUAUUCUCAAAAUUUUAAGAAGUAAUAUUGAUUUAAUAGAAAAUUACUCAUGGGAGAAACAACUGUAUAUAAUUUGAAUUGUGUUUGACCUCCAAUCAUAAAUGUAUGACUUGUCAGGAAUGCACUCUUAUUUCUCCCAUGAUCCCAUUCAUCCACCUGCUUAUCAGCAACUAAUUAAUUCUCUAUUGCCUGUGCCUGAAUUGUUAAUGUGAUGUAACAGGCUUGCAGCUUAAAAGACCUUAGUCCCUAGAAAUAGGCCCCAGCUCACAUCAAAGACCUUCAGACUGAUAAGAGUGGAACACAACUUGUUAUGGCACACAGUUUAUGGAUGUCAGGUUGGUAGUUUUGUUGUGAUUAUCAAAGAUUUGUGUUUUAAAAAGGGUUGAUUGUUCUUUUAAUUGGAAAUAUCAUUGUAAGGUGAGUCUGAAAAUAGUUCCAGUUUGUUUAAAAGCAAGGCCCUGAGGUGGGUGGCAGAUUUCUUUUUAUUGCUAUAGUGAAACAUUGUGAAAUCUCUAUAAGUCACAUUUUAGUUAAAUCUUAAUGAAACAUGCUUAGAGCAAAUGUUCCUUUAAUAUCUUGAUUUACUUUGAAAAUGGCUCCGGUGCUCUGAAGAGCAUUGUUUCCAGAGGCAAGCGAAUUUCUUCUUUUGAACUUUAUGAUAAUAUUUAUGUUUGAUGAAGUACUUUAAUUAUUUUGAACUCCACCUUCCCAGAAUAGUUUAGUUCCUUUGGGCCUCAGGUGAGCGCCUUAGGGCCCAUGGCCCUCUUGUUUUAUGAAACUUCUAUCACAUGUUAUCCGUUUUACUAAUUUGAUACAGAUAUUAUAUAAUUACUAUGAGCUUUUUUAUUAAUCUGUUAAAGUCCCUUUACAGUAAGAAUUUAAUAUAUUAUUUUAGUCAUAUUCAUGCAUAUCUGUUAUAGGCUAACACGUUUUUGUUGAAUGACCAGCAGUUGUCAUUGUUUAAGAUUUUGUCAGAAAUGUGUGUGUGAAGAAUUUCAAGAUUUCAAGAUAUUAUAAUUAUAUAUUAUUUCCAGAAGGCCAAUUGCCCAUGUUGACACUUUUAAGUACAUGCAAGUGAUGACAAUAGUAAUAGUACUAUAAACUUAUUUCUGAAGAGUACUUAAUUUAUGAGUAAGCAAGGUUGUUGAACAUUAUACAUACAACAUACAAAAAUAAUAUCAUUAACUCUCUCCGUGCGGGAACCAAAUUUUGAAGGUCUUUGCAAACAGUUUGGAUCCAGAUGAGACGCCACAGAACGUGGCAUCUCAUCAGGAUCCAAACUGUUUGCUAUUCUGAUAGUAUUCUUUGAAAAAAAUCGAAGAAAAUGCUAAUUUUAGAAAUUCUGCAGACGACAUUUUAGCAGACGACAAAUUUCCCAGCAUGCAAAGGGUUAAUCAUUAUCUGCAGUUAAUAAUACAUGUAAUUGAUCGUCACACAAAAUCAUAGUGAGACUUUAACAUGAACUACCGGUAAAUCCAUGUUUGUGCUAGUAAUUUUAUUGCGGUUUUAAACCAAUAAUUUAAAUUUGAGUGCCAACACUUGUUUGUUUGCUCAAGAGCUUUUUGUUGGCGUAUGUAUGUGCUGGUAGUUUUUACAAAGUUAUCUGUUUAACAGAACCAUAAUUAUAUUCUUAGUUAGAAUUUCUAACGCGGUAAGCUAAAUAUGUACUUUCAGAAGUGUAUUUUAACAGCUUACAUUUUAAAGGGAUCUUUUCACGUUUUGGUAAAUUGACAAAAUUGAUAAAAGUUGUUUAAGAUUCGCAAAUUUUCGUUUGCGUUAUGAUAUUUGUAAGGAAACAGUAAUACUGAACAUUUACCAUGGUCUAAUAUAGCCAUUAUAUGCAUCUUUUGACGAUUUAAAAACCUGAAAAUUAUAAAGCGUUGCAACGCGAAACGAUUGAAUAAUUGGAGAGUUCUGUUGUUGUCGUUUAAUUUUGUGAAACUACGAAGAUUGCUUAUAUAAAGUAUAAAAUACGUCUUUAAUACAUACUUGGCAGGAUGGUCGAGCGGUCUAAUUGGUUUUUACUCCAGGACUCCGGGGGUCACUGGUUCGAGCCCUGCUGCGGGCUACUUUUUUUUCCUUUUUUAAUUUUAUUUUUGAUGUUUUACUGGAGCUUUUUAGAUCCAAUGUUUACAUUUAUCAAUAUAAUGCAUUUAAUGAGAAACUUCAAAACAUGCCAAAAUCUGUGAAAUGGCCCCUUUAAGCCAGAAAUAAAACAUAAUUUUGUUUAGUGAUAACAAUUUGUAUUAUUCCUCACUUUUAUUCACAAUGUUAAAAUCCCAUAGGCCAUCGUGACAUAGAAAUACUGUCAACCCAGGGGGAAAACAUUUACUGUCCAAAAAAUACUGUUGCCGGCUAAAAAAAUACUGUCGCCCCCUAUCUUAGCUUUCACGUGCAGAAUGGUAAAAAAUUAUACUGUCCCAUUCGCGCAUGCGCAUUACGUUCUUUUCUGUAUAAUAAAAUGAAUAUUACAUGUCUGACAGGGUGACGGUAAAUUUGUCAACUUUCGGAAAAAUACUGCCAACCUCGGACAUGUAAUAUUGAUAUACAUGUAAUAACACUAUUAUUCAAAUAAACUAUGGAUUUAUCAUUGUGCUUUAACAUAACAGGUUAAGACUUCAGGUUUAUAAUAUGAGGACAACACCGAUCAAAUAAAGGCCCAUUCUUGCAUGAUGUGGAUAAUUUAGCUUCAUCUUUUCUAUACUGGUAUUAUGUUUGUCUCACGCAGCCAGUAUGCAGAUGCCUGUUUUUUCCUUUGCGUGUCUUUGAAAUCUUAUAUAUGAUCUACAAGGAACAAAUUGUUUUUUAUGGACAUUGUUAGGCAUUAAAAAAUAUGUUUAAGUAUGCAAUAAUAUAAAUGUCUGCAACAUACAUGUAUUUAUAUUUUUGGGUUAAGUUGUUACAUCAAUGUAGUUUAUGCAUUUGUUUAGUCUGUAAUAAUGUGAUAAACCCAAAAUAUGUUGUCAGCUGUUAUUGUGGAUUAAAUAAAUGUUUAAAACCAA
Dreissena polymorpha is the source of this 9910-nucleotide long non-coding RNA. RefSeq lists it as uncharacterized. The transcript has 2 exons. Lineage: Eukaryota; Metazoa; Mollusca; Bivalvia; Myida; Dreissenidae. The record is from RefSeq and is a predicted model, not a curated record.